RNAcentral lists this long non-coding RNA (6724 nucleotides) under Salmo salar (Atlantic salmon). RNAcentral describes it as "lncRNA (ENSSSAG00000098305.1)". The record is from RNAcentral. Lineage: Eukaryota; Metazoa; Chordata; Actinopteri; Salmoniformes; Salmonidae.
CAUGAAUAGUAAAAUGUGGACAUAUACUGUAAUUAGUUGUGCUGUGUUUUGCUUGUUAUUGACCUAGCAGAGUACAAUAGGAGAUGAGGUGAAAAGACCGAGACAGAGUUGUCUGGAAGCCACAGCUAUGCCUUUUAAUUAUGGAAAACAAUGGUUUUAAAAUGACAUUUAUCUUCGGUUACAUCUAACUUCAUUUUUCAGUCGUGUGAACUAUAAAGGAAUUUGUACAGUGACAACAUGCUACCAAUCAAUCCAAACCAUAUACUGAGACGGCAAUCAUUUUCCCUUUAGUGUUUAAUUCAUCAUUAAAAAUAGAGUGACCAGAGGAGACUUCAGCACAAAUGUUCUCCUAGGAGGCCUCUGGGUGUGUGUGUGUCUGCUUGUACACAUCUGUGUGUGUACACAUUUGUUCCUGUUUUUGCUACAUAUCAUAUUGUCCAACGUUGGGACAAUCAAGUUUUUAUGAAGAGGAAUGUGUACUUCUGGUGUACCUGCACUCCAUUCUACGAGACAGAGAGGGAUCAGGGACUGGACAGGCCAGCAGUGAGAGACCAGCAUGAUGACUAACUCCAUCCACAGCUACUGUUGUUAUUGUUGUUGUUGAGUCAGUUGGACUAACUCCAUCCACAGCUACUGUUGUUAUUGUUGUUAUUGAGUCAGUUGGACUAACUCCAUCCACAGCUACUGUUGUUAUUGUUGUUAUUGAGUCAGUUGGACUAACUCCAUCCACAGCUACUGUUGUUAUUGUUGUUGUUGAGUCAGUUGGACUAACUCCAUCCACAGCUACUGUUGAUAUUGUUGUUGUUGAGUCAGUUGGACUAACUCCAUCCACAGCUACUGUUGAUAUUGUUGUUGUUGAGUCAGUUGGACUAACUCCAUCCACAGCUACUGUUGAUAUUGUUGUUGUUGAGUCAGUUGGACUAGCUCCAUCCACAGCUACUGUUGUUAUUGUUGCCAGUUGGACUAGAUCCAUCCACAGCUACUGUUGUUAUUGUUGUUGUUGAGUCAGUUGGACAAGCUCCAUCCACAGCUACUGUUGAUAUUGUUGUUGUUGAGUCAGUUGGACUAACUCCAUCCACAGCUACUGUUGAUAUUGUUGUUGUUGAGUCAGUUGGACUAACUCCAUCCACAGCUACUGUUGAUGUUGUUGUUGAGUCAGUUGGACUAACUCCAUCCACAGCUACUGUUGAUAUUGUUGUUAUUGUUGUCAGUUGGACUAGCUCCAUCCACAGCUACUGCUGUUAUUGUUGUUGUUGAGUCAGUUGGACUAACUCCAUCCACAGCUACUGUUGAUAUUGUUGUUAUUGAGUCAGUUGGACUAACUCCAUCCACAGCUACUGUUGAUGUUGUUGUUGUCAGUUGGACUAACUCCAUCCACAGCUACUGUUGAUAUUGUUGUUAUUGUUGUCAGUUGGACUAACUCCAUCCACAGCUACUGUUGAUAUUGAGUCAGUUGGACUAACUCCAUCCACAGCUACUGUUGAUAUUGAGUCAGUUGGACUAACUCCAUCCACAGCUACUGUUGAUAUUGAGUCAGUUGGACUAACUCCAUCCACAGCUACUGUUGUUAUUGAGUCAGUUGGACUAACUCCAUCCACAGCUACUGUUGUUAUUGUUGAGUCAGUUGGACUAACUCCAUCCACAGCUACUGUUGUUAUUGAGUCAGUUGGACUAGCUCCAUCCACAGCUACUGUUGAUAUUGUUGUUAUUGAGUCAGUUGGACUAACUCCAUCCACAGCUACUGUUGUUAUUGUUGAGUCAGUUGGACUAGCUCCAUCCACAGCCACUGCUGUUAUUGUUGUUGUUGAGUCAGUUGGACUAACUCCAUCCACAGCUACUGUUGAUAUUGUUGUUGUUGAGUCAGUUGGACUAACUCCAUCCACAGCUACUGUUGAUAUUGUUGUUGUUGAGUCAGUUGGACUAACUCCCUCCACAGCUACUGUUGUUAUUGUUGUCAGUUUGACUAACUCCAGCCACAACUACUGUUGUUAUUGAGUCAGUUGGACUAGCUCCAUCCACAGCUACUGUUGAUAUUGUUGUUGUUGAGUCAGUUGGACUAACUCCAUCCGCAGCUACUGUUGAUAUUGUUGUUGUUGAGUCAGUUGGACUAGCUCCAUCCACAGCUACUGUUGUUGUUAUUGAGUCAGUUGGACUAGCUCCAUCCACAGCUACUGUUGAUAUUGUUGUUGUUGAGUCAGUUGGACUAGCUCCAUCCACAGCUACUGUUGAUAUUGUUGUUAUUGUUGUCAGUUGGACUAGCUCCAUCCACAGCUACUGUUGUUAUUGUUGUCAGUUGGACUAGAUCCAUCCACAGCUACUGUUGAUAUUGUUGUUGUUGAGUCAGUUGGACUAACUCCAUCCACAGCUACUGUUGAUAUUGUUGUUAUUGUUGUCAGUUGGACUAACUCCAUACACAGCUACUGUUGUUAUUGUUGUUAUUGAGUCAGUUGGACUAACUCCAUCCACAGCUACUGUUGAUAUUGUUGUUGUUGAGUCAGUUGGACUAGCUCCAUCCACAGCUACUGUUGAUAUUGUUGUUAUUGAGUCAGUUGGACUAACUCCAUCCACAGCUACUGUUGAUAUUGUUGUUGUUGAGUCAGUUGGACUAACUCCAUCCACAGCUACUGUUGUUAUUGUUGUUGUUGAGUCAGUUGGACUAGCUCCAUCCACAGCUACUGUUGUUAUUGUUGUUGUUGAGUCAGUUGGACUAGCUCCAUCCACAGCUACUGUUGAUAUUGUUGUUGUUGAGUCAGUUGGACUAGCUCCAUCCACAGCUACUGUUGUUGUUAUUGAGUCAGUUGGACUAACUCCAUCCACAGGUACUGUUGUUAUUGAGUCAGUUGGACUAGCUCCAUCCACAGCUACUGUUGAUAUUGUUGUUGUUGAGUCAGUUGGACUAACUCCAUCCACAGCUACUGUUGAUAUUGUUGUUGUUGAGUCAGUUGGACUAGCUCCAUCCACAGCUACUGUUGAUAUUGUUGUUGUUGAGUCAGUUGGACUAGCUCCAUCCACAGCUACUGUUGAUAUUGUUGUUAUUGAGUCAGUUGGACUAACUCCAUCCACAGCUACUGUUGUAUUGUUGUUAUUGUUGUCAGUUGGACUAGCUCCAUCCACAGCUACUGUUGUUAUUGUUGUUGGGUCAGUUGGACUAGCUCCAUCCACAGCUACUGUUGAUAUUGUUGUUGUUGAGUCAGUUGGACUAACUCCAUCCACAGCUACUGUUGAUAUUGUUGAGUCAGUUGGACUAACUCCAUCCACAGCUACUGUUGUUAUUGUUGUUUCAGUUGGACUAACUCCAUCCACAGCUACUGUUGAUAUUGUUGUUAUUGAGUCAGUUGGACUAACUCCAUCCACAGCUACUGUUGAUAUUGUUGUUGUUGAGUCAGUUGGACUAGCUCCAUCCACAGCUACUGUUGAUAUUGUUGUUAUUGAGUCAGUUGGACUAACUCCAUCCACAGCUACUGUUGAUAUUGUUGUUGUUGAGUCAGUUGGACUAACUCCAUCCACAGCUACUGUUGUUAUUGUUGUUGUUGAGUCAGUUGGACUAACUCCAUCCACAGCUACUGUUGAUAUUGUUGUUGUUGAGUCAGUUGGACUAGCUCCAUCCACAGCUACUGUUGAUAUUGUUGUUGUUGAGUCAGUUGGACUAGCUCCAUCCACAGCUACUGUUGAUAUUGUUGUUGUUGAGUCAGUUGGACUAGCUCCAUCCACAGCUACUGUUGUUAUUGUUGAGUCAGUUGGACUAACUCCAUCCACAGCUACUGUUGUUAUUGAGUCAGUUGGACUAGCUCCAUCCACAGCUACUGUUGUUAUUGUUGUUGUUGAGUCAGUUGGACUAACUCCAUCCACAGCUACUGUUGAUAUUGUUGUUGUUGAGUCAGUUGGACUAGCUCCAUCCACAGCUACUGUUGUUGUUAUUGAGUCAGUUGGACUAGCUCCAUCCACAGCUACUGUUGAUAUUGUUGUUGUUGAGUCAGUUGGACUAGCUCCAUCCACAGCUACUGUUGAUAUUGUUGUUAUUGUUGUCAGUUGGACUAGCUCCAUCCACAGCUACUGUUGUUAUUGUUGUCAGUUGGACUAGCUCCAUCCACAGCUACUGUUGAUAUUGUUGUUGUUGAGUCAGUUGGACUAGCUCCAUCCACAGCUACUGUUGAUAUUGUUGUUAUUGAGUCAGUUGGACUAACUCCAUCCACAGCUACUGUUGAUAUUGUUGUUGUUGAGUCAGUUGGACUAACUCCAUCCACAGCUACUGUUGUUAUUGUUGUUGUUGAGUCAGUUGGACUAGCUCCAUCCACAGCUACUGUUGAUAUUGUUGUUGUUGAGUCAGUUGGACUAGCUCCAUCCACAGCUACUGUUGUUAUUGUUGUUGUUGAGUCAGUUGGACUAGCUCCAUCCACAGCUACUGUUGAUAUUGUUGUUGUUGAGUCAGUUGGACUAGCUCCAUCCACAGCUACUGUUGUUAUUGUUGUCAGUUUGACUAACUCCAUCCACAACUACUGUUGUUAUUGAGUCAGUUGGACUAGCUCCAUCCACAGCUACUGUUGUUAUUGUUGUUGUUGAGUCAGUUGGACUAACUCCAUCCACAGCUACUGUUGAUAUUGUUGUUGUUGAGUCAGUUGGACUAGCUCCAUCCACAGCUACUGUUGUUGUUAUUGAGUCAGUUGGACUAGCUCCAUCCACAGCUACUGUUGAUAUUGUUGUUGUUGAGUCAGUUGGACUAGCUCCAUCCACAGCUACUGUUGAUAUUGUUGUUAUUGUUGUCAGUUGGACUAGCUCCAUCCACAGCUACUGUUGUUAUUGUUGUCAGUUGGACUAGCGCCAUCCACAGCUACUGUUGAUAUUGUUGUUGUUGAGUCAGUUGGACUAACUCCAUCCACAGCUACUGUUGAUAUUGUUGUUAUUGUUGUCAGUUGGACUAGCUUCAUCCACAGCUACUGUUGUUAUUGUUGUUGUUGAGUCAGUUGGACUAACUCCAUCCACAGCUACUGUUGAUAUUGUUGUUGUUGAGUCAGUUGGACUAGCUCCAUCCACAGCUACUGUUGAUAUUGUUGAGUCAGUUGGACUAACUCCAUCCACAGCUACUGUUGAUAUUGUUGUUGUUGAGUCAGUUGGACUAACUCCAUCCACAGCUACUGUUGAUAUUGUUGUUGUUGAGUCAGUUGGACUAGCUCCAUCCACAGCUACUGUUGUUAUUGUUGUUGUUGAGUCAGUUGGACUAGCUCCAUCCACAGCUACUGUUGAUAUUGUUGUUGUUGAGUCAGUUGGACUAGCUCCAUCCACAGCUACUGUUGUUAUUGUUGAGUCAGUUGGACUAGCUCCAUCCACAGCUACUGUUGUUGUUGUUGUUGAGUCAGUUGGACUAACUCCAUCCACAGCUACUGUUGUUGUUGUUGAGUCAGUUGGACUAACUCCAUCCACAGCUACUGUUGUUAUUGAGUCAGUUGGACUAGCUCCAUCCACAGCUACUGUUGAUAUUGUUGUUGUUGAGUCAGUUGGACUAACUCCAUCCACAGCUACUGUUGAUAUUGUUGUUGUUGAGUCAGUUGGACUAGCUCCAUCCACAGCUACUGUUGUUGUUGUUGAGUCAGUUGGACUAGCUCCAUCCACAGCUACUGUUGAUAUUGUUGUUGUUGAGUCAGUUGGACUAGCUCCAUCCACAGCUACUGUUGAUAUUGUUGUUAUUGUUGUCAGUUGGACUAGCUCCAUCCACAGCUACUGUUGUUAUUGUUGUCAGUUGGACUAGCUCCAUCCACAGCUACUGUUGAUAUUGUUGUUGUUGAGUCAGUUGGACUAACUCCAUCCACAGCUACUGUUGAUAUUGUUGUUAUUGUUGUCAGUUGGACUAGCUCCAUCCACAGCUACUGUUGUUAUUGUUGUUAUUGAGUCAGUUGGACUAACUCCAUCCACAGCUACUGUUGAUAUUGUUGUUGUUGAGUCAGUUGGACUAGCUCCAUCCACAGCUACUGUUGAUAUUGUUGUUAUUGAGUCAGUUGGACUAACUCCAUCCACAGCUACUGUUGAUAUUGUUGUUGUUGAGUCAGUUGGACUAACUCCAUCCACAGCUACUGUUAUUGUUGUCAGUUGGACUAGCUCCAUCCACAGCUACUGCUGUUAUUGUUGUUGUUGAGUCAGUUGGACUAACUCCAUCCACAGCUACUGUUGAUAUUGUUGUUAUUGAGUCAGUUGGACUAACUCCAUCCACAGCUACUGUUGAUAUUGUUGUUGUUGAGUCAGUUGGACUAACUCCAUCCACAGCUACUGUUGUUAUUGUUGUUGUUGAGUCAGUUGGACUAGCUCCAUCCACAGCUACUGUUGUUAUUGUUGUUGUUGAGUCAGUUGGACUAGCUCCAUCCACAGCUACUGUUGAUAUUGUUGUUGUUGAGUCAGUUGGACUAGCUCCAUCCACAGCUACUGUUGUUAUUGUUGUCAGUUGGACUAGCUCCAUCCACAGCUACUGUUGAUAUUGUUGUUAUUGAGUCAGUUGGACUAACUCCAGCUACUGUUGUUAUUGUUAAGUCUUGUCUCUACGCUGCCAGCAUCUCUCUGUUCUCCUUGUUCCUUGCUGGUCUUCUCUCUUGAGAACAAAAAAACAUGGUCAGGGACUGUAUCUACAAAGUGUCUCAGAGUAAGAGUGCUGAUCUAGGAUCAGGUCCCUCUGUUCAUAUAAUCCUAUUAAUAAAUGACGUAAAAAGGCCAAACUGUUCCUAGAUCAGCUUUUACUGUG